GGGAUGAGCUCAAAUUUAAAAUCUGGCUGGUUUACUAGUCCGAAUUGUAGUUUAUAGAAGCGUUUUCGGUGGCAGCCUGGGUAUAAAUCCUUUGGAAUAGGGUAUCAUAGAGGGUGAGAAUCCCGUCUUUGACUCAGUGCAUGCUACUAUGUGAUACGUUUUCAAAGAGUCGAGUUGUUUGGGAAUGCAGCUCAAAAUGGGAGGUAAAUUUCUUCUAAAGCUAAAUACCGGCGAGAGACCGAUAGCGAACAAGUACCGUGAGGGAAAGAUGAAAAGAACUUUGAAAAGAGAGUUAAACAGUGCGUGAAAUUGUUGAAAGGGAAACGUUUGACACCAGUUAUGCGGGUGGAAAAUCAAUCUUUUGCAAUGGCAAGCUGUGGGCGUUCAGACCGCAAGGCUGGCGUUUGCUUCAUUGUUGUUGUAAGUGAUGCACUUUUUCAUUUGCAGGUCAACAUCAGUUUGUUUCGCUGGACAAAACCCCAAGGGAAGGUGGCAGCUUAGGCUGUGUUAUAGCCCUGGGGCGAUACAGUGGAAUGGACUGAGGUUUUCGCAGCGUGUGCUUUCGGGCAAGGUCGACUGGGUGCUAUGGGAUCGUUUGGCGUACAAUGCAUGCAUUUUGCGCUUCGUCUUUUUCAUACUCGCUCAAA
This 647-nucleotide ribosomal RNA is filed under the name Linnemannia biramosa. Its description in RNAcentral is "eukaryotic LSU rRNA". It matches the Rfam family "Eukaryotic large subunit ribosomal RNA", at positions 100 to 622 of the family's 3401-position model. Lineage: Eukaryota; Fungi; Mortierellomycota; Mortierellomycetes; Mortierellales; Mortierellaceae. The record is from RNAcentral.